AAUCAACGCUGGCGGCGUGCCUCAGACAUGCAAGUCGAACGAUUAAAGCUCUCUUCGGAGAGUGCAUAGAAUGGCGCACGGGUGAGUAACACGUAAGUAAUCUACCUUCGAGUGGGGAAUAACGUCCGGAAACGGACGCUAAUACCGCAUAAUGCAGCGGCAUCGUAAGAUGACAGUUGCUAAAGAUUUAUCGCUUGAAGAGGAGCUUGCGGCAGAUUAGCUAGUUGGUAAGGUAAUGGCUUACCAAGGCUACGAUCUGUAACCGGUCUUAGAGGACGGUCGGUCACACUGACACUGAAUAACGGGUCAGACUCCUACGGGAGGCAGCAGUCGGGAAUUUUGGGCAAUGGGCGAAAGCCUGACCCAGCAACGCCGCGUGAAGGAUGAAGUAUUUCGAUAUGUAAACUUCGUAAGAAUAGGAAGAAUAAAUGACGGUACUAUUUGUAAGGUCCGGCUAACUACGUGCCAGCAGCCGCGGUAAU
RNAcentral lists this ribosomal RNA (482 nucleotides) under uncultured bacterium. Its description in RNAcentral is "bacterial SSU rRNA". It matches the Rfam family "Bacterial small subunit ribosomal RNA", at positions 32 to 524 of the family's 1533-position model. The record is from RNAcentral.